Molecule: long non-coding RNA, 62 nt
Filed under: Pongo abelii (Sumatran orangutan)
Lineage: Eukaryota; Metazoa; Chordata; Mammalia; Primates; Hominidae
Description: lincRNA
Source: RNAcentral
GGCUUUCAUGAUUAUACCAAAUACUUUUGCCACUUCACCUUUAUGCCCCUAACAAAUUUGAC